CCAAACUUGGUCAUUUAGAGGAAGUAAAAGUCGUAACAAGGUUUCCGUAGGUGAACCUGCGGAAGGAUCAUUACAAAUCAUGGUCGAACCUCGCGCUUCGCGAGGUUCUUGCGUCCAUAUUCUUAUUUAAAACAUCCACUCUUUUAAAAAAAAAUUAAAAAAUUUAUCCAAUGAUAAAAAAAAGAUCACUUUCAACAACGGAUCUCUUGGCUCUCGCAUCGAUGAAGAACGCAGC
This 235-nucleotide unclassified non-coding RNA is filed under the name uncultured fungus. Its description in RNAcentral is "partial contains small subunit ribosomal RNA, internal transcribed spacer 1, and 5.8S ribosomal RNA". The stretch from base 1 to 73 matches the Rfam family "Eukaryotic small subunit ribosomal RNA", at positions 1759 to 1831 of the family's 1831-position model. The record is from RNAcentral. Lineage: Eukaryota; Fungi.